AACGAACGCUGGCGGCAUGCCUAACACAUGCAAGUCGAACGAGACCUUCGGGUCUAGUGGCGCACGGGUGCGUAACGCGUGGGAACCUGCCCUUAGGUUCGGAAUAACUCCCCGAAAGGGGUGCUAAUACCGGAUAAUGUCUUCGGACCAAAGAUUUAUCGCCUUUGGAUGGGCCCGCGUUGGAUUAGCUAGUUGGUAGGGUAAAAGCCUACCAAGGCGACGAUCCAUAGCUGGUCUGAGAGGAUGAUCAGCCACACUGGGACUGAGACACGGCCCAGACUCCUACGGGAGGCAGCAGUGGGGAAUAUUGGAAAACGGGCUAAAGCCUGAUCCAGCAAUGCCGCGUGAGUGAUGAAGGCCUUAGGGUUGUAAAGCUCUUUUACCCGGGAUGAUAAUGACAGUACCGGGAGAAUAAGCUCCGGCUAACUCCGUG
Molecule: ribosomal RNA, 433 nt
Filed under: uncultured bacterium
Lineage: Bacteria
Description: partial 16S ribosomal RNA
Rfam family: Bacterial small subunit ribosomal RNA
Source: RNAcentral